RNAcentral lists this ribosomal RNA (428 nucleotides) under uncultured bacterium. RNAcentral's name for it is "bacterial SSU rRNA". It matches the Rfam family "Bacterial small subunit ribosomal RNA", at positions 64 to 524 of the family's 1533-position model. The record is from RNAcentral.
GAACGCCCGCUCGCAAGAGCAUGGAGUGGCGGACGGGUGAGUACACGUGGGUACUACCUUUCGGUGAGGAAUACCUUGCGAGAAAUCGCCGACAAGACCGCAUAUGCUCUCUCGCAAGGGGGAGCAAAGUCGCAAGACGCCGGGAGAUGGGCCUGCGCCCGAUUAGCUAGCUGGUGGGGUAAAAGCCUACCAUUGCGACGAUCGGUAGCUGGUCUGAUAGGAUGAUCAUCCACACUGGGAUUGAUAACGGUCCAUACUCCUACGGGGGGCAGCAGUGAGGAAUUUUCGUCAAUGGGGGAAACCCUGAACGAGCAACGCCGUGUGCAGGAAGACGGCCUUCGGGUUGUAAACUGCUUUUCUGUGGGACGAGAAUGGACUGUACCACAGGAAGAAGCCCCGGCUAACUACGUGCCAUCAGCCGCGGUAAU